CCGCUAUGAUGAUUUGCUUUCGGUCCGUGUUUCUGACAUUUGUUUGAAGAUUUGAAAGCUCUGAGUGG
This 68-nucleotide small nucleolar RNA is filed under the name Dendronephthya gigantea. RNAcentral's name for it is "small nucleolar RNA SNORD18". It matches the Rfam family "Small nucleolar RNA SNORD18". Rfam says of the family: U18 is a member of the C/D class of snoRNA which contain the C (UGAUGA) and D (CUGA) box motifs. It is encoded in introns of ribosomal protein L1 in Xenopus and human, and in introns of elongation factor 1 beta in yeast. The record is from RNAcentral. Lineage: Eukaryota; Metazoa; Cnidaria; Anthozoa; Malacalcyonacea; Nephtheidae.